GACGGAAAAGGCUUUUGUUAUUUUUUGUUUUUCCCCCCGUUUUCCCUUUUUCCCCCUCUUUUUUUGGGGGGCGUUUUUUGUUUUUUUGGGUUUUCUUUUUUUAAGCCCUUAUUUAUUGCGCCCGGCGCCGUGGCCGUGCCUCGGUUCCCCCCCCCCCCAUGGGGACCCUCCCGUGCACGUGUGGCCUCGCUGCCACUGUCACACGCGUGACCUGGCCCCACCGCGGUGAUGGGGCAGAGCCACCGGCGAGGGACGGCACGGGGACACGGCACAGGGACACGGCAGGGACACAGCACGGGGACAUGGUAUGGAGAUGUGGCACGGGGACGUGGCACGGAGACGUGACGCAGGGAUGUGGCAUGGAGAUGUGACGUAGGGACACGGCACGGAGAUGAGAUGUAGGGACAUGGCCUGGAGACGUGACACAGGGAUGCGGCAUGGAGAUGUGACAUGGGGAUGCAGCGUGGAGAUGUGACAGUGCAGGGACAUGGCAUGGAGAUGCGACACGGAGAUGCGGCACGGAGAUGUGACAUGGAGACACGACGUGGAGGGACGGCACGUGGGGACAUGGCACGGGGAUGUGGCACCGAGGGACGGCGUGGAGAUGUGGCACCAAGGGACACGACGUGGAGUGAUGACGUGGGGACACGGCACGGAGAGAUGGCUCGGAGAGACGCGGCAUGGGGACAGGACACGGCAUGGGGUGACACGGAGGGACACGACACGGCUACGGCAGGGCAGGACGCCACAGGGACAGGACACGGAGGGCCACCACGGGGACACGGCCCGGAGAAGGUCCCCAGAGCUGCGGGGGGAUGAGGACACGCAGUGACAAUCAGCACCGGGCGGCUCCACGGCUGCGGCGAGUUGGGCCGGGCUCAGUGGGGCGUGGGGACACGCGGGGACGGCGGCUCCCUCCUGGGCAUGGGGACACGUGGGGACAUGU
This 946-nucleotide long non-coding RNA is filed under the name Apteryx rowi (Okarito brown kiwi). Its description in RNAcentral is "lncRNA (ENSARWG00000011659.1)". The record is from RNAcentral. Lineage: Eukaryota; Metazoa; Chordata; Aves; Apterygiformes; Apterygidae.